Molecule: transfer RNA, 67 nt
Filed under: Parachauliodes japonicus
Lineage: Eukaryota; Metazoa; Arthropoda; Insecta; Megaloptera; Corydalidae
Description: tRNA-His
Source: RNAcentral
ACUUAGGUAGUUUAAUUUUAAAAAAUUUUGAUUUGUGGUGUCAAAGAUAUAUUAUAUAUUCUAAGUC